Molecule: long non-coding RNA, 552 nt
Organism: Panicum virgatum (switchgrass)
Lineage: Eukaryota; Viridiplantae; Streptophyta; Magnoliopsida; Poales; Poaceae
Exons: 2
Source: RefSeq, a predicted model, not a curated record
CAAAUCCCAAUCCUCCCAGCUGCCAGCAUCCUAGCCCCUAGCUCCCAGCGUCUCUUAUGCAGCACCUCUUCCUCCGCCUCGGCAGUUCGACCUUUUCGGCUCCAGCCACCGGUCCUCCUCAGUCCUCCCUACGCCCGGCCAUCCCCCUCCCUUCCUUUUUUCCAGCACCGUUCACCCAGGCGCACACACCGGUCGCUGCCAGGCCACCCAUCGCGACCCCCAGGCACUCGCCCAGCGCCCCCCCAGGUCGCGCCUUGGCGCCCGCCCAGGCCCCUUGCCGCCGAGCUCCGACGACCAGACGAUGGUGAUAGGAUCAAUAGCUUAUAUUGUCAUGCCUUGAAGACAUUUAAGAAGAAACGAAGGUAGAUUCUUGCAUCACCACUCCGAAUGAUUCAGUUGGACUUUUACGUAAUAAUUGAGUUGAGCAAUGACUCUUGUAUGGUUUUUUGCUUUUAUUUGUGUUACUCUGUGAAGAUUUCGAUUUGAGAUGAUAGUAGGAUGCAUCAUGUAUGAGACUAUUUUAUUUGUUGGCUCGGAUUUAUUUGUUUGCGA